This 442-nucleotide ribosomal RNA is filed under the name uncultured bacterium. RNAcentral's name for it is "partial 16S ribosomal RNA". It matches the Rfam family "Bacterial small subunit ribosomal RNA", at positions 338 to 795 of the family's 1533-position model. The record is from RNAcentral.
CCUACGGGAGGCAGCAGUGGGGAAUAUUGCACAAUGGGCGAAAGCCUGAUGCAGCAACGCCGCGUGAAGGAAGAAGGCCUUCGGGUCGUAAACUUCUGUCCUUGGGGAAGAAGAACUGACGGUACCCAAGGAGGAAGCCCCGGCUAACUACGUGCCAGCAGCCGCGGUAAUACGUAGGGAGCAAGCGUUAUCCGGAUUUAUUGGGUGUAAAGGGUGCGUAGACGGAGAAGCAAGUUAGUUGUGAAAUCCCUCGGCUUAACUGAGGAACUGCAACUAAAACUACUUCCCUUGAGUACUGGAGAGGAAAGUGGAAUUCCUAGUGUAGCGGUGAAAGGCGUAGAUAUUAGGAGGAACACCAGUGGCGAAGGCGACUUUCUGGACAGUAACUGACGUUGAGGCACGAAAGUGUGGGGAGCAAACAGGAUUAGAUACCCCUGUAGUC